UCGGCAAUGGACGAAAGUCUGACCGAGCAACGCCGCGUGAGUGAAGAAGGUUUUCGGAUCGUAAAGCUCUGUUGUAAGUCAAGAACGUGUGUGAGAGUGGAAAGUUCACACAGUGACGGUAGCUUACCAGAAAGGGACGGCUAACUACGUGCCAGCAGCCGCGGUAAUACGUAGGUCCCGAGCGUUGUCCGGAUUUAUUGGGCGUAAAGGGAGCGCAGGCGGUCAGGAAAGUCUGGAGUAAAAGGCUAUGGCUCAACCAUAGUGUGCUCUGGAAACUGUCUGACUUGAGUGCAGAAGGGGAGAGUGGAAUUCCAUGUGUAGCGGUGAAAUGCGUAGAUAUAUGGAGGAACACCAGUGGCGAAAGCGGCUCUCUGGUCUGUCACUGACGCUGAGGCUCGAAAGCGUGGGUAGCGAACAGGAUUAGAUACCCUGGUAGUCCACGCCGUAAACGAUGAGUGCUAGGUGUUAGGCCCUUUCCGGGGCUUAGUGCCGGAGCUAACGCAAUAAGCACUCCGCCUGGGGAGUACGACCGCAAGGUUGAAACUCAAAGGAAUUGACGGGGGCCCGCACAAGCG
RNAcentral lists this ribosomal RNA (575 nucleotides) under Streptococcus mutans. RNAcentral's name for it is "bacterial SSU rRNA". It matches the Rfam family "Bacterial small subunit ribosomal RNA", at positions 365 to 931 of the family's 1533-position model. The record is from RNAcentral. Lineage: Bacteria; Bacillati; Bacillota; Bacilli; Lactobacillales; Streptococcaceae.